CCCACCAGGUUAAGUGUUAGUGCAUUGCCUGUAGCCUUCACCCUCCUCCCCCGCGACCCAGCAGGGAGACCCAAGACUCCAUAAAACGUUUGCCAGUCUUUGAAUAUUUGGCUGAGCCUAAAAGGUGCUUCAUUUUAGCACCCCCUUUCCUGUCCAGGUGGAAUUUGAACGAUUGAAAAAAAUCCACUCCUGGUCACUUAGAAUACCACCCACAGGACAGCAAGAACAAGACCCUUCUUCAGUCCUCAGCAACGAAAUGAGGUGGGAGGGAUUGAAAAAGGCGUAAGGGGAGGUGGGAAGGGUGACCAGCUGUAAGCAGUCCCCAUGCCUCUCCGUGGUUGCUGGUAAAGGUGUUCCCGUCCUGAGUGUGGAAAGGACUUUGGAGUUCAGGAAAGAUUAAGGGGUCCUUUCCUCACAGCGUCCCCUCCCGUACCCCCAGCUGAGUUGUGGGGAGCUUCGGUUGAGCUCCGGCACCCCGGCAGGGUCGGGCCAGGAGGGAGGCCUUGAAGGCCACUCAAGCCAAGGCGCCAACUUGCCCGAUCUGAGCCUGAGGCCUGCUGAAAGCAGAGCGGGGCACCUAACGGCUGGUUCCGGAAUGAGGCUCUGCUUUCUAGCUUCUUUUUCUCCUCCUCCCCCCAAAUCUUCCAACAUGCCACCCUGGAGGCUCUGCCCCAAGAACACCUUUGUCUCUCCCGAGGGCAUUCACAGGAAGCACCUUGGAGGGGGCAGUGGCAGGACACUGACUUGACAAAACAGUUGCUGAGAAAACGGCAGGACCUGAGCUGUUGAUUCAGGAGCCUUUCCAAACUUCAAAAUUCUGGGCGCUAUUGCUAAUUGGUGCUGCAAAACUGUCCUCCUCUAAGACCACCUCCAAGGCCCCCACCCACCCACAGCGAGCUGGCCUUUUGUGCGUUCAGUGGGAAAAGGGACUCCUAGCUUCCAGCCUGGCAGCUUGAUGGUCAACAUAGAAAACACAACUAAUUCUGGGGCCCUACUUUUCUUGUGAAAAUCCCUUUAGGUAGUUUUAGAUAUGGAGCAGGAACAAGUAAAGGACUAUUGGCAAACACGAAGGCAGGCAUGAAAUCUGUGCCCGCUUUGUCUCACCUUAAAAGACAACGAAAACACGCACAGCUCCUGGGCUUCUUGGAAUUGGUCUUCCCGGUGCGGGCUGGGCCCCAGAAGACCCCCAGUGUUCAGAGUCCUGGGGUCCCAAGUCCCGCACAGGACUCCCUUGUGCCGGGCUAUGCAUGGGAGCGGCUCCUGCCCUCUGGGCCGCGGACCCUCAGGCCCCCAGGAGCGCAGCGACCUGGUGGCCUCUGCCCUGCCAUCUCCCAGCCACUGCCCAUUGAUGAUUCCCAGGUGGAGAAGCCCCAGCGCCGCACCGCCCAGCCUGGCCACCAGCCCUGGGCCCCGCUGUCCAGCACCUCCCAGGCCGGAAUGGCGAACAGGUUUCCACCUCUGCCUGUCUUUGCACUUGGGAGUCGGGGGCACCUUAAGACUCUUACUGCCUCUCACUAGCUUCCCUUCCCCCUCAAGCCAGGAGGCCCUGUGCUAGCCGGCCCUCCCCAGGGACACAGCCUGCGCCAUCCAGCUUCCUCCAGUGGUCGCCUGCAGGACCCAGAAUUGAAGCGGCCCUUUGCCCAGGGCUCCAGAGUGGCAUCGAAAUUGAGCUCAUCCACACAGCCCCCUGACGGCCUGGUGCCCUUUUCUGACUUAAAACUUUCCUUGCACCUUUGUUUACCCGCUCAAAGUUUCAGUGUGCCUAGAUUUUCCUCCCUCCAAGGACAAAAAUGUGAAUAAAACAUUAUUUUAGCCAAA
Molecule: long non-coding RNA, 1818 nt
Organism: Nycticebus coucang (slow loris)
Lineage: Eukaryota; Metazoa; Chordata; Mammalia; Primates; Lorisidae
Exons: 2
Source: RefSeq, a predicted model, not a curated record